Molecule: ribosomal RNA, 430 nt
Filed under: Carausius morosus (Indian stick insect)
Lineage: Eukaryota; Metazoa; Arthropoda; Insecta; Phasmatodea; Lonchodidae
Description: partial 16S ribosomal RNA
Rfam family: Bacterial large subunit ribosomal RNA (bases 304-430)
Source: RNAcentral
AGCAUAAUCAUUAGUUUAUUAAUUGUAAACUUGUAUGAAUGGUUUGACGAAAUAUUACCUGUCUUAUUUAUAUUAAUUGAAUUUAAAUUUUUAGUUAAAAUGCUUAAAUUUUAUUAUAGGACGAGAAGACCCUAUAGAUCUUUAUUAUAUUGGUAUUUAUAUAGUUAGGAUUUAUUUAUUUAUAAAUAUUUAUAUUUUUUUGUUGGGGUGACAUGGAGAAUUCUUAUAAACUUUUUAUUUUUUUUUACAAUGAUUAUUGAAUUUUAGAACUUAUUGUAAUGAUAUAAGAUUAGAUACCUUAGGGAUAACAGCGUAAUUUUUCUUGAGAGUUCUUAUUAACGGAGAAUAUUGCGACCUCGAUGUUGGAUUAAGAUUAUUAUCAGGNGAAGAAGCUWGAUUAAWAGGUCUGUUCGACCUUUAAAUUCUUACA